GCCCCGGUAGUGUAGCGGUUAUCAUACGACCCUGUCACGGUCGUGACGCGGGUUCGAGUCCCGUCUGGGGCGCCA
This 75-nucleotide transfer RNA is filed under the name Candidatus Undinarchaeales archaeon. Its description in RNAcentral is "tRNA-Asp". It matches the Rfam family "tRNA". Rfam says of the family: Transfer RNA (tRNA) molecules are approximately 80 nucleotides in length. Their secondary structure includes four short double-helical elements and three loops (D, anti-codon, and T loops). The record is from RNAcentral. Lineage: Archaea; Nanobdellati; Candidatus Undinarchaeota; Candidatus Undinarchaeia; Candidatus Undinarchaeales.